RNAcentral lists this transfer RNA (847 nucleotides) under uncultured Synechococcus sp. RNAcentral describes it as "partial contains 16S ribosomal RNA, 16S-23S ribosomal RNA intergenic spacer, and 23S ribosomal RNA". The stretch from base 286 to 358 matches the Rfam family "tRNA". The record is from RNAcentral. Lineage: Bacteria; Bacillati; Cyanobacteriota; Cyanophyceae; Synechococcales; Synechococcaceae.
UUGGAUCACUCCUUAACAGGGAGACAAACAACGAUUUUGAUGCUGAGUAUUUUUAUUCUUAGGCCCGAAAUCCUGUCACAUUAGGUCGAUCGGUACCUCAGCUUUUGAAGCCAUCAAAUUUGCAGCGAUGCAGGUGAGGAUGGUGAAAAUUCUUAGUUCCUAAACUUUGUCUAGGUCACACCCCACAAGGGAUGAGACUCCUGGGCCAUUAGCUCAGGUGGUUAGAGCGCACCCCUGAUAAGGGUGAGGUCCCUGGUUCAAGUCCAGGGUGGCCCAUUCGGUGUUGGGGGUUUAGCUCAGUUGGUAGAGCGCCUGCUUUGCAAGCAGGAUGUCAGGAGUUCGAGUCUCCUAACCUCCACUGACCGAACUUUAAUUCCCAUCUCCAGAAGUUUGGAGUAUGAGCUCGAUUGGAGUGUGAUUUAGAUGUGUCCGCUAGAGGAACCCAGCUUCCUGUCAUUCCUGCGAUAGAGAGAAAUCUAUCGAUGGUUGAUAAGAUGCUGGGCUCGAAUCAGGUGAUCAAGCAAUUGGUGAUUUGAUUUGAAGUCUGGCAGAACCUUGACGACUGCAUAGGUGAGUCUGGAAAGAAUAAAGCAUCUCAUGGAUGAUGCGAUGACUCUGAAUGAUGAUCCGAAAGGGUGAUGAUGAGGAGUGAUUGCAAAUUCUAUCGAGCAAGAGCCGAGACUCCAUCACGUUCUUCUAAUUGUGUCGAGCAAUGAGGAGUUAGAUUUUUGAUUCAGCAAUGAAUCAGAGAGAAUCUGUUUCAACGACAGCAAGCGUGUUGGAGAUACAUUGGUCAAGCUACAAAGGGCUCACGGUGGAUACCUUGGCACACAGAGGCGAUGAAGGA